CAAUCCAAAAAACUAACAAACUUCAUAAAAAGCUUUACCGAAUAUAGAGUGCUCCACGAUUGCAAGAUGAAAUUCAUACAAAAAUAUUGUAUAUGUUCUUUUGAUUUCAACAUUGGUUUAAGUAAUGAGAUAACCACAAAACAUACAUAAUAACACUAAUUAGGUAUACUUAAAUCUAUGGGAUAACAUUUUUGGUUAAUACUCAUUUUCUUUUUUAUUUUAUUGGUUGUUUAAAACCUUAAUCCAUCCGCCUUUUUUCUCAUUCUGUUUCUUUCUAUCUAUUGCAAAAUUGGUAAGGAUACGAUAAGGGAUACAUACACACACCCUUCAAAUAGAUCUUUGUCUUUCCUUUUUAUGUGCAUACACACAUAAAUGUUUCUGAUCUCGAACGUGUGUGUGCGUGUGUGAAAUGAGGUAUCAACGUUCAAACGAAUCUGUGUUUUGUGGUCUAUCCAAGGUAAGACUAGCUGCUACCAAGAUGUUGCUAUUCUCCUUGACAAAUGAGUUUAAAAUAUAGACCUUAGAAGUAUGUCGUUUUGUGGUAGAUUAAAACACUAAAUAAUUUGAAAGAGUACAACUUGGAGAUGUGGAUAAGAAAAAGUGAAAAACAUAAAGGAAUAGUAGUUUGAGACGUGGAUGAGUGAAAUUCACAAUAAGUUUAAGGGUAAUUGAUCAAUUAACGAAAAAGCCCCAAAAUUUUGAUCAAUUAACGAAAAAACCUAGAAUACUAGCUAAAUCUGCAAAACCGGCCACGGAGGGUUAUUCCAAAGUUUUAGCCGGUAUUCUGUCAUUUUUUAUAAACAAAAUUUAAUUUGAGAUUAAAUCGUAAAUUCGCUGAAAAUAAUGAGACUUUAUUGGAGAUUUCGCAGAUAGUUAUAACAACAUAAAAUAUCUAUUUUUUUUUUUCUAAAAAUAAGAUAACCAACAAUAUAAUAUAGACAAUCAUAUCUCUAAACACAAUCAUAUUUUUACCUAAAAGGUAAAAGAUAACUUAAAAGAAAUAGUUGAUACAAUAAAACAGACAUAUUCACAAACUUUAUUUUUAUUUUUAGUUAGCAUAGAUAAAUGGUAACAUUUUUUCAUUUAUAUAUUAAAAAUUAAAAAUGUCAAAUCAUUAAAAAAAACAAAUUGCCACUUUUUUAUAAAUUCUACAAAACGAAUUAAAAAGAGGUCUUAUUCGAUCUUAAUUCUUACACGCAUUAAGCUUUUAUUUUAGAAAAUAAAUUCAUAAUUCAUAAGCUAUUUUAUAUAACUUUUAUGAAAACUAAUUUUUUUUUUUGACAUCUUUUAAAAGUUUAUAACUAAUUUUAUGGAAAUAAAAACUAUGUUUCAGCUGUUGGUUACCAUCUACUAAAUAGUUGCCUAGCUGUCAAAAAUGCCAAUAAUCUCUUCCCAUACUUAUAUUUUUCCUAAAAGUAAACAUUUUUAACAAUAUUUUAAAUUCAAAAUAAAUUUAAAUAAUAACUAUUUUAAUUAUUAACACCAAAAAUAUAUAUAACAACUAGGAAGCAUUGAAGAAAUCCAUCCCACAUAGUUUACAGCUGCAAGGCUGCGAUUAUUCUGAGUCAACUCAUCAUCGUCCCAAGCUUCCGAAGUUGACAAGAACACGUAGUACCUUUAUUAAUAGUAUUCACACAAUUACAACCAAUACAACGGUGCUUUGGGUCCCUCCGAUGAUUUCAAGAAAACCCCACGUUAGGUAUCCUUCUUGAUCAUCUGAAAUUGUUUGAUCUUGUCUCCUUUUCAUCCUCCCAAAUCAUUUACUUUUUUCUUGAGAUUUUCAAUUUUGUUGGGUUCAUAAACAUAAACCCCCUCUAAUUCUACUCCAAAUAACUUCAUGUUUAUCUGAAAGUCCGAAACUGUAAGUUCGUUUCGUCGUUCACAUCUCACUUCUGUAUCAGAAUACAAUCACAAGUUUCGAAUUUUCGAAGACGUGUUUUAAUGGUUUUGUGAGUUGUGGAUUGAUCGAGAUUUCAGAUUAUGGGUAUUGUUUUAUUUCGAAUUUCCUAAAAGGGUAAAUGAGAUUGUUCUUCAGCUUUAUUUGGGUUUACAGUGAAUUCCCCUAUUUUUGUUUGGCCAGAAUCGGCAGUUCGCCAGAUUUUUCCUAAAAAUGUUGAUCGAAUCCAUUAAUUCUCGACUAAUUUGCUAUUUUGAGCAUUACCCUUUUCACGAUCGAGUUGAAUUUGCAAUAUUUCGCAUAUGAGUGUCCAUAAAACGAUCAAAUUUUACUCAUUUUGGUUAUUCUUGUUUCCUUUAUGACUGUUUUUCUGUUAAUUUCUGAUGAUAAAUUUGUAAUUUUUCAUGAAGGGAAGGCUAGAUUAUAUAUGAAAAUCAUCAUCAUAUCAUACUUCUGAUUAUUGCUGUUGUGAGAUACGAAAAUGGAGGGAAAAGAAAACAUAACUGAGUACAGAGAUAAACUGGACAAAACACUCAAGUCCGAUGAUCUUUGCAACGUGGAAUUUCUCAAAAAGCUUGUUGAGAAUCAACUAUCGAAAUCAUCACAACAUGAAGAUCAAGGUUUGUAUAGUUAGUUUUGACUUUAUUUCAGCUGUAUAUAUGUAUAUUGAUUGAAAUAUUUUGUAUAAAACAGAAUAUAGUGAUAAUUUAGUUCAAAAAAGAACCAAAGAAGUGGCCAAUUUCAUUGGUAUGCUUAGAAGCACUUCAGGAAGUGUCGAUGAAGUAUCACAUAAUGGUUGGAAAGUACGUUUUUUUUUUUUAAACAUUUUUCUUGAUUCUUUUCAUCUUUUAUGUCAAAUUUGUUUGUUUAUUUGUUAACAUUUCAUCUUUGUCGACAGAUAAAACACGAUAAUCAAGAUUGCCGUGUUAUGUAUAGAGAGGGGCCCACAGGGACUCCCUUUCAUUCAUUACUAGCAGAAGGAUACGUAGAUGGGCCUCUAGAUGUUUGUAAGUUUGAUCAAAAAAGAUUUGACAUAUUUGCCCUCAUGAAAUAUCUCUCUUAACAUAUAUAUUUGAAUGUAGGCAUGUGCAUAUCAUGUGAGGCAAGCCUCUACCCAAAAUGGUGAGAAAGUUUUCAACUUUUGAAACAUUUCAAGCGAAUCAUCUUUCUUUUAAAUGUUUCAAGAACGAAUGAUUUGAGACAAAAUGUGACUAAAAUGAUUGUUGUUUUUUUCAAUUAUAUGUCGAAAACUUUUCAAGAAUUUAAAUAUUUUUUUUUCAGGUGGCCUCAAUUUAAUAUCCCGACUUUUAAGGUUACAUCUUCGGAAAUUGUGAAGAAGAUUAGAAUGGGUGAACAAAUAUCUUUAGUGAGGUUUGUUAAAUUACAUAAAGUUUUAAUUUUUUUAAAACUUUGUAUAAGAUCUUUAUUCAUGGAUUUUGAUAUUUAAAUUUAUACAUAUGUGGAAGAAAGGAUGAAGCUUUCAUGGCCAUUAUCAACAAGAGAGGCUUUAGUUCAUUAUGUUACAAUUGAUUACUUCCAAGAUGGCCUCAUUAUAGUGCUCCUGAACUCGGUAAUUCCUUAUAUAUAUGUGAAUUUUCGCCCUUUUCGAAUCAACUAUGAAUUAUUUGCGAAAUGACUAAAAUACCCUUUCAGAUUUCUGAGACAGAGAUCAUUGAUAUAGACACUCAUGGGUUUACUAAAGAUGGUAUACCGGAUGUUGAAAAUGUUACUAGGAUAGAUAUUGUAGGAGGUGUUGCUAUACAAAAAGUGAGCACAAAUAGAAGCUAUUUUCGGUAAAGAUUUGUUUUUUUUUUUUCUUUAAAUUGUGAAUUCAAUUAAGAAAAAUGUUUAUAUAAGUUUUAAUUUUUGUAGGACGAUUGCAAACAUGGAUAUAAAACUUGAUUUUGUUCCUCCAACAAUUAUCAACUUUGUUUCAAGACAACUUAUAGGUAGCGGAUUUAAGCUCUAUAAAAAGGUGUAGUUUCUUUCAAGAAACUUUACAACAAAUAAACAAACAAAUUUGACAAAUCAAAUUCAUGCUAAUUGUAUUUUCAACAACAGGAAGUUGCUUCUGUGUGCAAAGGUGAUGAAGAUUUUAGCAUGGCUUUAAAAGAUCCAUGUUAUCAUCGAAUUCGUGAAGCACUUUAUUUAGAAAACAAUGAACAAAAUGAGGUUUCAAAACAAGAAGACAUUAAGAUUGUUCAUGAGAUUUUAGAACAACAAAGAGAUGAAGAUAUCAAAGAAUUGAAAACUCAAAACCCCGUUUGUGAAAUCGAGGAGAUUGAAGAAAGUGAAAAACCACAUGAAGAUAGUAAUAAUAAUGGGAAAGAAGUAAAUGAGGAUUCAAACAAAAAGAUUAUUGUUGGAAGAAAACAAGUUAUUAUAAGUCCAGAAGUGAAUCAAGCUUUAGGAACAUUGGAAAAAGUUAUUUCUAUCUUUAGAGAAAUUGGAUUCAAUCCAAGAUCCAUGUCUUUAUCCCGUUUUGCUAACAAUUUGUUUGCUGAUCUUGAAGACAAAAAGUCAAACGAUUCUAAACGUUUUGUAACACAAGUCAACGAGUCAACGUUAAAAUCCUCACAAGAAUCAAGAAAUGGUUUUGAUGAUGAUGAAGAUACACCGAGUUCUUUUUCUUUUGUUAUAAAUGAGGCGAUAACUUCAACAUUAGCAGAAAAAGAUGCCAUUAAUGGAGAGGUGAAGAACAUUGAUGAAAGUGGUAUUUCACAGAAAAAGAUGAAGAAACAAAGAUUUUGCUGCAUCAGCUUCACUUCUGGAGGUGUUGGUUGAUAGAUUGUUAUUUGAAUCUAUACGGGUUUUAUAUACGUAUAACAUAUUCAUACAUGAUACAUUUGUCUAGUGUUUUUAUAAAUAAAACUAUGGUAGGAACGAGAAUUUCUUUUCGAAAAGUUGUAACUAUAGAUUAUUGUUGUUUUUUUAUAUGUUGUAUUGUUUAGAUAUAAAAAUAUGAAAGAUUAUGAGGAAAAGUGGUUGUUUUUGUACUUUGUAUUGAUGAAAGGGGUAAUGUGCUCUGAAUAGUGGUUGUAAUGAGUCGAUCUGGGUUGGGUUCGGGUUCAACCUAUUUAUUAAUUGGGUUGAAAAUUUCAAUCUAACCCAACUUGUUUAUUUAAAUGAAUUAAUAUUUCCAACCCAAUCCAACCAAACUUUUCAGAUAAAUGGGUUGUCAUCGGGUUGACCCGUUUAUAUAGUUCUUAAUCCAACCUAUUAAAUACAUUGGUUAAACUUGGGUUGAUCAAUUUAAAAUAAAAAUAAAUAAAUUAAUUAAUUAAAGAUUACACCGUUUAAAUUAGUUAUAGAUUUAAAUAAAAUUUCAAAAGUAUAACAAAAGCACAAUCUCAAUUCAUAUAUACAAAGAAAUUGUUCAAAUAAGAUUAAAGAUAUAUAAUUUCUAAGUAAUUUUCUAGAGUAACUAGUGUUUUCGAUGUCAAGAAAAAAGAUAGGAAUUAGGAUUCCAUUUUUUUAAAAACAUAAAUAAUAAUACAAACAUUGUAAUUUAUAAAAUAAUACUUAGAUUAAUACAUGAUAAUAUUUAAAUAAUUAUUAAAUUAAAUAUAAAUUAAAGUUAAAUGGGUUGGUGAGUUAAAAACGGGUUGAUAAUUUUUACCCGACCCAACCUAUUUAAUUAAAUAGGUUAAACGAGUUGACCCAUUUAACUUAAAUGAGUUGAAAAUCUCAAUCUAACCUGCUAAUUUUGGGUUGGAUUCAAAUUAGAUUGUUGGGUUGGAUCGAUUUUUGCCGGUUCUAACUAUGAAGUUUAUAAAAGACAAACAUUUGAAUAGUGACAAGAUUGGUCCCUUACAAAGGAUUUACAGUUUGUAAAAGUUUUUUAUUUUUUUGUUUGAUAAGUGUAUCACUUUUAUACUUUCACGGUGUUUAUUUAUUAUUAUUAUUAUUAUUAUUAUUAUUAUUAUUAUUAUUAUUAUUAUGUUAUGGAUUUCAUUUCUAAACUUGUUACGGGUUUUUAACAUUAAAAGAAUGGAAGAGAGAAAUAAAACAAGGAUAAAACGGUCUUUUAUAGAUUUAAUAACUGAAUCACUAAGUCUUACCGGUAAAAAUGUGUGAAUCAUUCUGACCACUUAUUGUUACGUUGUGUAGCACACGAACAACAAUUGACACUUUGUAACUUUUUGUUUUUCAGAAGAAUUCUGAUUUAAAAAGUGUUGCACAUAUGCUGCGUGGCACAGUCUGCAGAGGUUAAAAAACAAACAAUUUUUUUAUUACAUGCUGUAGUCGUUUGAUCCCCUCUUCUAUUAUAGAGGGUUGCAAGAGGUGAUCUGCAGACUUUACACUUCGUUUCGAAAAAACUAACAUCACCUAAAUGAUUAUUUAAAGACCAGAAAAUAAAAAUCAAACUUAUGUAGCACAUAAUAGAAAGUGAUAUAUUUAUAGAAAGAAAGAAAAAAAAAAGACAAAACUACAAAAAUGGUUCUUGUGGUUUUUUAUUUUAUGUGAUUACGGUUCAAACGUUUGAAAAGUUGCAGAUUUGGUUCUUUUCAACAAGUUUUGUUGUGGUUUUGAUCCCUCAUCCGUUAAGAUCCUUAAAAAGGUAAAAUGGUCUUUUCAGAUUUAUUGGAUUGAUCAUUAAGUCUUAAGGGCCACAGACAAAAAGGUGACCAAAUAACGACUUAAAGAUGAAAAAGACAAACUAAAACUCCUGUGCAACAUGUAUAGAAAGUUAUAUAGUAUAGGGACGAAACUAAAAAAAGUGACCAAAUAUCUCUAUAUAAUAAAAACAUUAAAAAAAAGAAAAGAAAAAGAGACCAUGCUUUUGGUCCUUGUACCGUAUGCUUAUGGAAUUGUACCAACAGCUUUAAGGCUUGUACCAUUUACGGCUUAAACUUUAAAGGCAUCAAAAACACCACAAACUCGACAUGGGUUUUGCUUCAUCAGGGUUUUAGAUCGAUCUCUCUCAAAAUGUUGAGAAACCAACUCAGAACGCCAUUGACAACCUUCAUUCGGAAAACCAUACCUCAAUCCAUUUCUCUCCAAUCACUAGAAGAAACCAUAAAAAAUCAACCAAAUUUCUCUACUCCCAGUCCCUGUACCUUCAAUACUAACGCACAAACAAGGGUUUCAAGGAAUCCCCAAAUUCACCUCAUAUGGAGCUCCGAAUUUCGUGGAAAAAGUUCCGGUUUUUGUUCAUCAGCAUCUUCCACCACGUGCUGCUGGAAUUGUAAGAGUCAGGGGCCGUUUCUGAUUUGUCAAUCUUGUGGGAGCAUUCAACCUGUCGAUCAUUCAGUUGAUUACUUCAACAUUUUUGGGCUGUAAGCGUUUAAAAUGCCCUAAUACGCGUUUCUCUGAUCAAAAUUUUGAUAAACAAACUUGGAAUUUAUUUGAAUUGUUUAUAUAUGAUUCCUGAGUAAUCACCUGUUCGAAGUUCAUCGGAUUUUCGCAAUUUUCUUAGGGUUUUAGACUCCAUUAAUUAAUAUCUUCAUAUGACAGAGAUCGGAAGUUCGACAUUGAAGUUGGAAGCUUGGAAGGGAAGUAUAAAGACUGGCAGAAAAAGCUUCACCCCGAUUUAGUUCACACAAAAUCCGAGGUCUGUGAGUAACUCAUUGCUUGAAUUCGAACCAUUGUUAUUAUAUCACUUCACACAUUCGUUAUGUAGGAAGAAAGAGAGUAUGCAGCUGAACAAUCUGCUAGGGUUAUCGAUGCUUAUACUACACUUCGUAAACCAUUAUCACGAGCAAUUUACAUAGUAAGUAAAGGAUUGAUUCUAAUUUACAGUUUCACACAAAUUAACUGGUUUUGAAUCUUCUUUUUUACCUUCACAGAUGAGGCUUGAGGGUGUUGAAGUAGAUGAAGAACAAACUGUUUCAGAACCAGAAUUGUUGGGUGAGGUAAAUUUGAGAUUUUUGGUUUUUUGAAUUUUGUUGUUCCCAUUUUCAUUAUGGGACCCACAAUUGAAUUCAUGUGCUACUCCCAGAUCAUGGAAAUUAGGGAAGCCGUGGAAGAUGCCAAUGAUUCUCAAGCCCUAAACCAGAUCCAAUCCCAGGUAAUAAUGUUUGGUUUGGUAAAAAGUUACUGAUAAGCUAGAUGAUAAAUGUAUAAUGAUAUAAAAUGACAUUUUCAUAUAUAUAUAUAUAUAUAUAUAUAUAUAUAUANNNNNNNNNNNNNNNNNNNNNNNNNNNNNNNNNNNNNNNNNNNNAAAAGUGUAAAAUACACCAUUAUACUACAUAUAUAUAUAUAUAUAUAUAUAUAAUUAAAAAGUAACACAUAAGGAUAUAUUUGGAGAACUUGUGGUAAAAGCUGUAUUGGUUAUCAAUAAGUUAUGUCAAAUAAUUUUUUAAAAAGCUAGCUUUUCAGCUACUUUAACUAGCUUUUUAUUCGAUUUGUAUUUCUUGUAGAUGGAUGAAAAAUUGAGCCAUUGGUAUGAUUUUUUUGCAAAUGCUUUUCAAAGUAAAGAGUAUGAUGAUGCUAUAAAAUCAAUCCAAAGAAUGACAUACUACCAACGGGUGAAGGAAGAGACUGUUAAGAAGCUCUAGAUUCAUGUUUUUGCCUUUCAAAUGGGCUUCAAGAUAUCAAGAAAAACAAAAGAAAAUUAAAGUGAGUAAAGAGGAUGCUGGAUGCAUGCUUAAGUUUUUUUUUCCCUUUCAUGUCCACAAACAUGGCUUACGAUAAAUUUACUAUUGAGGGUAUUUUGGUCUUUUCAACCAUUCAAAGAGCAAAGUGAAUUAAUUCGACAAUCAUUGUAUUUGGUUUGUUCUGUAUUUUGUAAGAAUUUAAGAACAAUUGAUUUUGAAUAAAUUAUAGAAAUGGAUCAACCUUUACAUUAUUUUCAUAUUUUGUAAGAAAAAAACUAUAAAACUUGGAUGUAUGAUUUUGAAAAAAAUAUGAGGGCAGUAGCUCAAUAAAAGAAACUUAAAGGGUUGUGAAGUUAAACCUCAAAACUUUAGGGGCUGAUUUGCAAUUUAUAAGAAAAUAUUCUUUGGCGAAAAGAAAGCGCCUGGUUGGUUUCUGUUGAUAUAAACCGACGUUUCUGGAUUGUGCGAGAAGCAAAAGAGAAGGAAACAUGGGUUGGGUAUGGAAGGACGACGACGAUGAUCAGAACUCCGGUGAAAUCACCGAAUUCAAAGAUUUGAACCCUAGAUCUGAUGCUGGGUCCUCGACGAGGAAGAUUAUCUCUUCCCAGUGCAGAACGGAGGAGGUAGAGCCUGGUAAAUUCAUCAGAAAAUGCGAGAAAACCGAGCAACUUCUCAGAGACUCCGUUGGAAGGUAAUUCCUUUUAAUUAUAGUUUCACUUCCGUUUUCCGAUAUCAUUGUUCUUGAUGAAUAUGAUUUUUAGCCAUCAUCUGUUUGAUUUGUGAUUUUGGUAGUUAGGGUUUUAUUCGUACACGUUCUGCUGUUAAUCUAGCUAUAAUCUGUUUUAAGCUAUACAAUCACCGAGAAAUUGAAGGCGUGGAAAGAUUGAAUUUAGGACAAUCACACUAUAGUUUUGAGUUUUGAUAUGAUACCUUUUCCAUUAUCUGUUCAGACGAUCUGAAGUGGUGCAAUCUAACAAGGAAUACACAGAAGAAGAUGUGACUGAACAGAUGACAAAAGGAUCUUUUUUCCCCAUUCAGUCAUCACAACAACCUGCUACACCAUUUGAUUUCCCUGGGUUACGCACUGAUAUAGAAGCAAUUGAACGAAGUCUGUUUGGGAACAUGAAUCGUUUCUUCGAGGCUGCUGAAGGGCUUUUUGGUCUUUUCGGGGGUUCUCCUCAGCUACACCAAGGAGAAGGAGAUUCAAAAUCCAUUUUUGGGUCUACUUCUCCUCCUUCUAGUCUGUAUGAUGGGUAUUCCAAAUCUUCAGAAUCGACUGUACCCAUUCAGUCUCACCCUCCUAAAGCUGUUAAGCCCAACACAGGUGAUGGAGAUGUUGAUCUUUCGGGUUUGGCAAGAGAUGUUUGAAUGAUAUGGUAUGAUAAAAUCUUGAUGGUUGAGUAAGGUUUUUGAUCAAACUUUAUAAAAACAUUCAUAAGCUAGUAUAGCUAUGAUCUCGUUUUUAUGUCUCUUUCUGCUGUUGAUGUUUGUUGGACGCGUUUUAAAUGAUAUAUAGAUUUGUGGUUUUUUAAUUGUUUUAUGUGGAAAUCAAAAGUCAAAAGUCAAAAGUCAAAAGUCAAGGGUAUAGUGAUGAAUUAUGAUUAUGAUCCACUUUGUGU
Molecule: long non-coding RNA, 10055 nt
Filed under: Lactuca sativa (garden lettuce)
Lineage: Eukaryota; Viridiplantae; Streptophyta; Magnoliopsida; Asterales; Asteraceae
Description: long non-coding RNA (LSAT_LNC006371)
Source: RNAcentral